AGGGCAGUAUCUUUCGCAAGAAGAACUGCACCGAGGCCGACAGCACGAAUAGGUGAAGGAAAUGAUCUGCCUUGAUCCUUUUUUGAAGGACUAGGACAGAGGG
This is a non-coding RNA of Geobacillus sp. CAMR12739, 103 nucleotides long. Lineage: Bacteria; Bacillati; Bacillota; Bacilli; Caryophanales; Anoxybacillaceae. The record is from Rfam.